CAGCCCUCAUUCGUCUGCAAUGUCGCGGCGACCUGUUGCAGCUUUUCCAGCGCAAGCCGAUCCAGCAGCGCCGCAUCCUCGAAAUAGCCGCCGCGAUCCUCGGUAAAGAGAUCACGCAGGACUGUGCCACCUGCCUCAAUGUAGGCCUCAUGACCGACGAAGACCGCGCGACGGUCGGUGGCCGCGACGUUGGUUUCGGUCAACAUUCGGCGAAUCGUGACGGGAUCGCGGCUGUAGGACAGCCGGCUAUAGAUUUCCUCCUGCCUGUCAUGAUCGUCGAUCAGGGCGAAUGCCACCAAUUGCUCGAAGCCCAUUUCGCCGUUCCGGUACGCCUCGAUCAGGCGCGGCGACACGGCACUGAGCCGCA
Molecule: unclassified non-coding RNA, 367 nt
Filed under: Hevea brasiliensis (rubber tree)
Lineage: Eukaryota; Viridiplantae; Streptophyta; Magnoliopsida; Malpighiales; Euphorbiaceae
Source: RNAcentral